Molecule: RNA transcript, 2007 nt
Organism: Magnolia sinica
Lineage: Eukaryota; Viridiplantae; Streptophyta; Magnoliopsida; Magnoliales; Magnoliaceae
Gene name: plastoglobule-localized metallopeptidase 48, chloroplastic
Exons: 8
Source: RefSeq, a predicted model, not a curated record
GCUCCACAUCUCUCUCUCUCUCCGGUGUUUGCAAAAUACAAAUGGCUUCCCUUUCUCUUCCUCCUUUCCUCUCUAAACACCACUCCCAUCUUCCUCUUCAUUCUGUUUCAUCCCAACCAUUGAUUUCUUCAUCUUAUCAUCAGCGGCUUCGAUCGAAGAAGAAGGAUUCCGGAAUUACGGUUUCCGUCUUCAAGGCCUCUGUUACAACUGAUACCACUGCUGCCUCUUCCACUCUCGUGUUCCGCAAUCUCCAAGCUGACGAUUUUCGCCAUCCUCUCGACAAGCAGAAUACAUUGCUUUUGAGGACCAUUCCUGGCUUGGAUGAACUUUUCAAGGCUUUAUUAGGUCCAGUUUCAGAGCAAGUCAUGCUUCUUGAGAAUAUUGGGACAUCUGUUCUCGUUGCUGAAAAUCAGCUUUCUGGUCUUCAUCAACUAAUGGUUGAGGCUGCAAAAGUACUAGACAUUGAGGCUCCUGAUCUGUAUGUCCGCCAAAAUCCUGUUCCAAAUGCAUACACUUUAGCUAUCAAUGGUAGAAAGCCAUUCAUUGUUGUGCAUACAAGCCUCGUGGAGCUUCUGACCAGAAGAGAGCUGCAGGCUGUACUCGCUCAUGAAUUGGGCCAUUUGAAAUGCGACCAUGGUGUAUGGCUUACAUUUGCAAACAUUCUUACACUGGGGGCUUACUCUGUACCUGGCCUAGGUGGAUUGAUUGCUCAACGUUUGGAGGAACAGCUAUACCGCUGGAUCCGAGCAGCAGAGCUGACUUGUGAUCGGGCAGCUCUUCUUGUUGCUCAAGAUCCCAAGCAGCAACCCAGAUACCUAGAGUUCAAAAUUCAGCUGGUUGUUGACUCGGGUACACUAAUAUCCCAAUGCAGUAUUUAGCCUGAAGCUCCUGAACCACGAGGAGGUUGGUUUUAUUAAAAUUUCUCGCAAACAGUGACAGCCAAACAUAGUCUCUGGGUUGAGCUCAUAAUAGCUGCCGUUUAUCAUGGCGUAACCCUGCAUGCACUAAAUCGUAGCUGUAAUUCAUGCAAUUUUAUAUAUGGUGAUUGGGUUUUGUACUCAUCAAUGGCCAAACAAAGUCCAUUGUUUGCAAGACAUUUCAAAGCUGUCUUCGUUACAACUAGGCUUGUUAUUUUUCGUAAUGACCAGUAUGCAAUUUCAUUUGAAGAUGCAAUCCAGAGCUUCAGGCAUAAUCACUUCAAAAUACAGAUUGGGGGUCAUCCUUUUAUAUUCAGGAUGGGAAGUUGAAAUACUUAUGUAACCUUUACUUCAUAUAUGCAUGGAAUACAUAAGAUAUAUAGACAACUGAAAGUAAACUGAGAUUCUGAGAACUGCAUAAAGUGUGCAAACACUGCUAAAAUGCAAGGAGAAAAUAUAAACUGAUGUUCUGUUCUGGAAGUGUUAACAUGCAUCUAACAGUGUAGUAUUCUUGUUUAACAUUGGUUGUUUCUUAUUACUGUUCAGCCAUUGCCUUUUUGGCCUUCUUUCUCAAUCACAAAAUCACUUGAAUUUGAUAACAAAUAUCCAUCUCUCAGCAAUAUUUCGAAGUAUUUACUUAGACAUCUCUUGAACAGUAUCCUGAUGUCUUUUAUUUAAACAUUGUCAAAAAAUUGAAAGUAGAAAGUAUGGAUAUCUCCCUAGGCAUGUAUCAAGUGAUUUUACCAAGGGAAAUGUGUAGAAUGACAUAGGUGGGAGUCUUGAGGGGUUUACACAACCAAAAAGUUUUGCCAAUCCCUAUUGAAAAUUUGACAGUGGAUGUUUCUAUGCUUUCUCCAUCAAGUUGUUUGUCCAAUUUUACAGCUUCGGCAUCCUCUAAUUUAUAACCACCUUGUUCUCAUGUCAUCAUUGUAUCAUGAGGUGGUCAUCUCUGUUCUGAUGAAACUAGCUGGGGGCUGCCCGUCCCUCGCCGACCAACUUAACGUGGAUGCAUUUUUAGAGCAAGCUCGCUCCUAUGACAAGGCUUCUUCAAGCCCAGUUGGGUGGUAUAUGAGGAAUGCUCAGACGAGAC